GACGAACGCUGGCGGCGUGCUUAACACAUGCAAGUCGAACGAUGAACCUCGAAAUGAUUUCUUCGGAAUGAUUUUUGAGAGGAUUAGUGGCGAACGGGUGAGUAACGCGUGAGCAACCUGCCUUAGACAAGGGGAUAGCCUCGGGAAACCGUGAUUAAUACCCUAUGAGACUCCACUUACGAGUGUAAGAGAAGUUAAAGCUAUUGCGGUCUAAGAUGGGCUCGCGUCUGAUUAGCUAGUUGGUGAGAUAAAAGCCCACCAAGGCGACGAUCAGUAACCGGCUUGAGAGAGUGAACGGUCACAUUGGAACUGAGACACGGUCCAAACUCCUACGGGAGGCAGCAGUGGGGAAUAUUGCACAAUGGGGGCAACCCUGAUGCAGCGACGCCGCGUGAGCGAUGAAGGAAUUCGUUUCGUAAAGCUCUGUCCUUGGAGAAGAUAAUGACGGUAACCAAGGAGGAAGCACCGGCUAAAUACGUG
RNAcentral lists this ribosomal RNA (480 nucleotides) under uncultured bacterium. RNAcentral describes it as "partial 16S ribosomal RNA". It matches the Rfam family "Bacterial small subunit ribosomal RNA", at positions 28 to 507 of the family's 1533-position model. The record is from RNAcentral.